RNAcentral lists this ribosomal RNA (447 nucleotides) under uncultured bacterium. RNAcentral's name for it is "bacterial SSU rRNA". It matches the Rfam family "Bacterial small subunit ribosomal RNA", at positions 29 to 501 of the family's 1533-position model. The record is from RNAcentral.
AACGAACGCUGGCGGCAUGCCUAACACAUGCAAGUCGAACGCUCUGGCUUCGGCCAGGGAGUGGCGCACGGGUGAGUAGCGCGUGGGAACCUGCCCUAAAGUGGGGGAUAACCGAGGGAAACUUCGGCUAAUACCGCAUACGCCGGUUGUCUUGAGAGAGAUGGCCGGGAAAGAUUUAUCGCUUUAGGAGGGGCCCGCGUCGGAUUAGCUAGUUGGUGUGGUAACGGCGCACCAAGGCGACGAUCAGUAGCUGGUCUGAGAGGAUGAUCAGCCACAUUGGGACUGAGACACGGCCCAAACUCCUACGGGAGGCAGCAGUGGGGAAUAUUGGACAAUGGGCGCAAGCCUGAUCCAGCCAUGCCGCGUGAGUGAUGAAGGCCCUAGGGUUGUAAAGCUCUUUUGUGCGGGAAGAUAAUGACGGUACCGCAAGAAUAAGCCCCGGNUAAC